RNAcentral lists this ribosomal RNA (556 nucleotides) under uncultured bacterium. RNAcentral's name for it is "bacterial SSU rRNA". It matches the Rfam family "Bacterial small subunit ribosomal RNA", at positions 358 to 916 of the family's 1533-position model. The record is from RNAcentral.
GGAAUAUUGGUCAAUGGGCGCAAGCCUGAACCAGCCAUGCCGCGUGCGGGAUGACGGUCCUAUGGAUUGUAAACUGCUUUUGUACAGGAAGAAACACUCGGACGUGUCCGAGCUUGACGGUACUGUAAGAAUAAGGAUCGGCUAACUCCGUGCCAGCAGCCGCGGUAAUACGGAGGAUCCAAGCGUUAUCCGGAAUCAUUGGGUUUAAAGGGUCCGUAGGCGGCUUAAUAAGUCAGUGGUGAAAUCCCUACGCUUAACGUAGGAACGGCCAUUGAUACUGUUAGGCUUGAAUUAUUAGGAAGUAACUAGAAUAUGUAGUGUAGCGGUGAAAUGCUUAGAGAUUACAUGGAAUACCAAUUGCGAAGGCAGGUUACUACUAAUGGAUUGACGCUGAUGGACGAAAGCGUGGGUAGCGAACAGGAUUAGAUACCCUGGUAGUCCACGCCGUAAACGAUGGAUACUAGCUGUUGGGAGCAAUCUCAGUGGCUAAGCGAAAGUGAUAAGUAUCCCACCUGGGGAGUACGUUCGCAAGAAUGAAACUCAAAUGAAUUGACGG